Molecule: non-coding RNA, 91 nt
Organism: Taxawa tesnikishii (nom. ined.)
Lineage: Eukaryota; Fungi; Ascomycota; Dothideomycetes; Dothideales
Source: the annotation of a GenBank genome assembly
GGUUCGGUGGUGUAGUUGGUUAUCACACCAGUCUAACAUGUUCCUUCUCAUGGUCCACUGGUGGUCCCCGGUUCGAGCCCGGGCCGAAUCA